Long non-coding RNA from Papaver somniferum (opium poppy), 423 nucleotides. RefSeq lists it as uncharacterized. The record is from RefSeq and is a predicted model, not a curated record. Lineage: Eukaryota; Viridiplantae; Streptophyta; Magnoliopsida; Ranunculales; Papaveraceae. The transcript is spliced from 2 exons.
CUUUCCUCUUCUCUUCUCUGUUUCAUUUUGGGAGAUGAAGGUUAGGUUGAUUUUGUAUGAGCGUUUAUUCUCAUGCUUGGUGUAUUGACGAACUGAGUGAGGUGGUGACGUUACUGAAGCUGAUUUAGUUCUGGAAAAGCAACGAGUUGUUAGUCUUCAUUAACAACGAUCGAUCUAAAGGAUGAACCAGUGGAUUGAGGAUCUCAAGGUAGGAGUGAUUUGCCUUCAGAAUCAGGUGGGAACUCUGUAACCUUCUUGUAAUCAUUAAGUUCCUUUUCAUAUGCGAGCAUGAUGUGCCAUUACUUCUUAUGAGAAUAUUUGUGUGUAAAUGAUUGGGUAUGUUGUGUAAUAUGCAUUGUGUGGAUUCUCCAAAUGUUAUAUCUAUUUUAAUGCUUAUUAUAGCCCAGAUGAGGCAAUAUCGUU